GACGAACGCUGGCGGCGUGCUUAACACAUGCAAGUCGAACGGAAAGGCCCCCACCUUGGUGGGGGUGCUCGAGUGGCGAACGGGUGAGUAACACGUGGGUGAUCUGCCCUGUACUUCGGGAUAAGCUUGGGAAACUGGGUCUAAUACCGGAUAGGACCAUGGUUUAGUGUCUCAUGGUGGAAAAAUAUUGUUUUGGUGCAGGAUGAGCUCGCGGCCUAUCAGCUUGUUGGUGGGGUAAUGGCCUACCAAGGCGUCGACGGAUAGCCGGCCUGAGAGGGUGGACGGCCACAUUGGGACUGAGAUACGGCCCAGACUCCUACGGGAGGCAGCAGUGGGGAAUAUUGCACAAUGGGCGAAAGCCUGAUGCAGCGACGCCGCGUGGGGGAUGACGGCCUUGGGGGUGUAAGCUCCUUUCGUUAGAGACGAAGCCACACCUUUUUUGGGUGUGGUGACGGUACCUUUGUUAAGAAGCACCGGCUAACUACGUG
Molecule: ribosomal RNA, 488 nt
Filed under: uncultured bacterium
Lineage: Bacteria
Description: partial 16S ribosomal RNA
Rfam family: Bacterial small subunit ribosomal RNA
Source: RNAcentral